GAUGAACGCUGGCGGCGUGCCUAAUACAUGCAAGUCGAGCGAACAGACGAGGAGCUUGCUCCUCUGACGUUAGCGGCGGACGGGUGAGUAACACGUGGAUAACCUACCUAUAAGACUGGGAUAACUUCGGGAAACCGGAGCUAAUACCGGAGAAUAUAUUGAACCGCAUGGUUCAAUAGUGAAAGACGGUUUUGCUGUCACUUAUAGAUGGAUCCGCGCCGCAUUAGCUAGUUGGUAAGGUAACGGCCUACCAAGGCAACGAUGCGUAGCCGACCUGAGAGGGUGAUCGGCCACACUGGAACUGAGACACGGUCCAGACUCCUACGGGAGGCAGCAGUAGGGAAUCUUCCGCAAUGGGCGAAAGCCUGACGGAGCAACGCCGCGUGAGUGAUGAAGGUCUUCGGAUCGUAAAACUCUGUUAUUAGGGAAGAACAAAUGUGUAAGUAACUAUGCACGUCUUGACGGUACCUAAUCAGAAAGCCACGGCUAACUACGUG
RNAcentral lists this ribosomal RNA (497 nucleotides) under uncultured bacterium. RNAcentral describes it as "partial 16S ribosomal RNA". It matches the Rfam family "Bacterial small subunit ribosomal RNA", at positions 28 to 507 of the family's 1533-position model. The record is from RNAcentral.